CUUGUAGUUAUUAACGCGAAAUGUGAUUGUCACCGAAUGGAUGAGCACCUAGUGGUUGCCACUUGGAACUUGUUUCCGUCCACCAAAUACUGUACCUUAUAGUAAAUUCCAUCCAGAGCAACGUAUCGAUAUUAUCUCGAGAUGACGACUUUACCGGUUUGCGGAUCCAAGGAUGUUCCGGUUUUAUAUGUAUGAACCGAGUGAAGACGGAAUGUUUAAGGUCAAAAGAACCGGCGUUAGGCACGUGAGUCAGUUUUAUAUGCGAAUUCUCAUCUUUAGUUUUCCUCUUUCUAUUAUUACUUUUCACAUGGAUGCAAACAUUUUAUCGAUAUAAACCAGUUAUUGCGGAUGUAUUUAUUUGGGGCUUGGCUCGCUGACGAAAAGGAGUGAUAUAUAAAGUUGCAGACCAACGUUUGGUUUCAGUCUUCAAUCGUCAUUCUUGUGUAGCGAACGGAGAAACUUCUGGAAAACAAUGUAUUUCAGAUCGCUUUACUGGAUUUUCGCUGCGGCAGUGUUGCUGGUUGUAACGAGUGUCCUCACAGCGUCGGUACCAAAUGGUGAUGUCUACCACGAAAACACGCUUUCGGAAAAUGGGCGUUUCUUUGCGAAUCAAACUAAAGAUGGCAUAUAUUACGAGGAACACGGAAUCUUACGUCCGUCAUCAGGUUCUAUAAAAGUGACGGGAUUGAUUCGUUCAGAGGGCACACCUGAUAGAACAUAUGAGUACCUCCUGAUGCAGGAUGAAGAUGAAUAUCUUAUCGUAGAACCUUAUAUACCAGGAGCGAUAUACACACAAAUUGAACCGAGACUCAUACUUUCCCUUCUUGGUGGUGGUAAAUUUUGAAUUACUCUUCGAUGAACUGUAAAGAGGAACAAUGAGCUUUGAAAUAAAUGUUAUGCUGCAUUGAAACUAUGACAUGUUUUACACAGACUGACGAUGAGACACAUAAUACAUGAAAAUUUAUGUAAUUUGUAACCUCGUUGGCGAGUUUAUGAAAAAUGGACAAAUAACAUGGAAGAUAAAAUUUGUACUGAUUGAUCGUCUAUAUCCCUUCUACAAAUUAUGUUUGUUCGUGCAUAAGAGUAUACAUAAAAACUAAAAUUUGAAAAUGUAAUUGUGUGUUGUAUUCUCCAUUGCAACACCUGUUUCAAACUCCAACCAAAGCAACUGCACAAAGUCAACCAUCGACGCCAUUUAGCGUUGAGAAUGUUAGCCAAUGGAAUAUUAACAAUGUUGUGAUGUUUCCGGUCGCGAGACCAAAAGACG
Anopheles funestus (African malaria mosquito) is the source of this 1267-nucleotide long non-coding RNA. RefSeq lists it as uncharacterized. The record is from RefSeq and is a predicted model, not a curated record. The transcript is spliced from 3 exons. Lineage: Eukaryota; Metazoa; Arthropoda; Insecta; Diptera; Culicidae.